UUAAUUUUUUUUGUGAAUUUAGUAAUUUGCUGUCCUUUCUGUCUAAUAUGCUGUGAAUUUGUAGUUACAGAUGCAGCUGUAGAGUUUAAGCUAACCUUAUGGGUAAUUACCAGCGUAGUUGUCUUACUGAGGCAGUGUAUCAUAACCAUGUUUUUUAGGGUAAUGGUGCAGUUGAGUCAGCAGUAAGAAAUCUGGUGUCUUUGCUGUGUAGCCGGAUGGGCUACUCGCCUUUCUUUUCUCUCUCGCUCGCUCUACUGCUCUCGCUCUCUCCUGCGCUCGCUCUUGCUGCGCAGCUACGUUAAUUAGGAACCCACCUGCAUAUUGAUUACAGAGUGGUGUUUACCUGUAUAAAGGGAAGCCGGUUUUUUUGUUAGAUCAUUCCUCCCGAGCUUCUGGUGCGACACAGCAGUAAAUGCUGGCCUAUUGGUUAAUUUACCGAUACGAUCGGAUCGUGUGACUGCUACAGGUAGGCCUCCUUUUGACCUCUGCUUUCUCUCAAAAGUCGGUAACUAGUAGUCAUAUUUCCGUGGCCCGCUACAGCGCGGCUGUUUCUCUUUUCUUUACUCCAGCCGUGGUGGAGAGACGUGUUUGAGUUGCGUCCACCGUGCAGUAUAGCGCCUCCAGUCUUGGGGGUUUGAUUGCUGCCGCACCCUCUCAGGGACCAACUGCCUGAUAUUUUAAGCGAAGAGUCGAGACGCCUGCCGAGCUCUCCUCUCGUCUGGUCUGGUUUCGUCUCGUCAUCUGUUGGCUGUCCAGUUUGUUCCUGCUGCUUGCCUCGCCCGUGGGGGCUUUGGGUCUCACGCUAAGCCCCUUUUGGACUAUCGUUUCACUCCAGCUUUCGGGGCGAUCCUCAGCUGCAUAUUGGGCUGGUGUUACAAAACUGGUAUUGCCUCUCCCUUUUCUCCCAGUUGUGGAGAGCUGCGCGAGACUGAGUGGGGCUACGGACAAUCGGAACCAGCACCAGCUGUGGGCUGGCUCGCAGAGUACAAGUAUUUCCAAUCUGUGCUCUGUGGUGUGUAUGUGGGUGUGUUUUAUUGCAGAUCUCAGUUUUUCUUUUAAUUUAUUUAUGUCCCAUGUUUUUAUUCUUGUAAUGUGUAUGUCUUGUGCUUUUAUUUCAGCGAACUGAGGAUCUACCAGUGGCCGUGGGACCUUAGGUGGUGGGUCGUUUUCCACACUUCUUUUGUUGUACAGCACCAGGUGAAUAGACUAUAGUGGGUUUUUUUUUUGUGUGGUUUUCUUUUGGUCCACCGCUGCUGGUAAGUCCCAGUUGUAUGUUUAUUUUUAUUGUAAUUUGGGACACCGUUUUAGAUGACACUGCAUUCAGUGCGCUGUUGUUUUGUUUUUAUUUCAUAUUAAUAAAUAAAAUUGUUAAUAUUUGAGCCGGCCUCAGUGUGCAUCCCUGAACCUGUGCGAAUGUUGUUUUAAUUACAUUUUAUUUCUAAAGUUCAUAUUUCCUGGGGGCUAGAAUUUCCCCCCAGGUGGCGUUGUCAUUUUAUUAUUUCUUCUAUAACCCCGCUGACCACUUGGUCACAGCUGCUUAACAACAUAUCCACAAAUCCUUCAGGGAGGCCAACAGAGAGUGGGCAGCCGGAGCCUAGACAUCUGACUAUCCAGCAAGAGAUGACAAGAUCAUUUCCAGGAUGUUUCAAAUCAAACUUGAGCCGUGGUAAAAAGAGAUGUUUAACAUCUACUAAGCAGCUUGUUAAGGCAGGCAGUAAGACCACAGGCCUCAAUUUUUAUUUGCUGUCAAAAAACACAUCCUACACACCUUUGCCAGCUGAGGAGCUUGAACUCCUACAAGCUGGCUUGGGGAGACAAACAGUGUCUCUUCCAGAAGAUGGUGACCAUGCAGAGGUAAGUUUGUAUAGUCAGUAUUAAAAUCAGUCAUCGGCAGACGCAUUUAGCCUGAAUCAUAUGCCACAGUCCAUUUAGUGUUCCAUUCUGCUUAACUGUGUUUUUAACUAAGAUUUCUAGACUUCUGGAAGAAACCUUUCCAAAAAUGGAAUAUCUUUGUGGAGGAUGGCUCCAUUAUGUAGUUGAUACUUUUGCUGCUUGAUUGUUUAUGCUAUCUUUCUGUCAAUAAAGGUGGCAGUGGUCGACGAAAGCUCACUGUAAUUCCACCUGAAACAGAAGGAUAUUCUGUCAAAACACUGAAAGCUGUGUCAGGAGGUGGCAAAUCCACUUUUUACAUUGUACCUCUUCAGGAAACAUUAGACACAUCUCCUCUACCUCCCGACUCACAGCACUUUUCAAAGAUGCCAAAGAAGAUGUUACCAGUGUAAUGAACUUAUGCCUCUGCAGAUGCUUGCAGUACACAUCAAUACGUGCAACGGAAAAUUCUCUCCUGAUGAUGAGGAAUCUGAGUUAUGCAUUGUGAAAAGCAAAUGCAAGGUAAACCUAUAGCACAUUACUAAAAACCAUAGUAACUACAAUGAAUCGGUAAUGAUUUUUUUCCCACAAUGAGAACAAGGGCAAAAACCCCAAGUAUUCUCUGACCGAUCUUGAUAAUGAAAACUUCAGGUUGGUUACAUACGAGCUUUGUGUAUUACAUUUAAUACGCAUCCGAUAUUUUUGUAAAUGUUACCUGAAAAUGAAUUAUAAUCAUUUGUCUUCACAGAACUAUUGGUGAAAUAAUUGCAGUCAGCCUCGCCCAAGGAGGCCCAUCUCCUGCCUUUUUCAAAGAAUGGUGCUACAAUUUCCUCUGCUCAGGAGAGGAUGAUUUCAGCUGUCUGUUUAAGGAGGAUGUUGCAGAUGUGGAAUUUUCCCUGCUCAUCAGCAAAGUUGAAGAUGCAGCAGACAUACAGUCUCUGAUGUGGGCUGAUGAAAUUGCCAGCUGUGGAUACACAAACCAGAUAAAGAUGGAUAGUAAGGAAAGCAUGAUCCGCCAGACGCUGAUUUCAUUAUGAUGAGCUGCCAACCACAUUUCAGUGAAAAGGGGACAUCUAGGGAGAGAACUGAGAGGAAGAUCAUAAAUAUUUUGCAAGAUUUCUUGCAGGAGAUUGAAGUAUCAGGCGGUGCAGGUGGUGAAAAAUCAGUCUCUUGCUGUCAAGCAUGUGCUCCAGUGGAUGACCGGCCAGUCCCAUGUUCCCAUCCUUCCUGAUGAAAAGAGACAUUUCAAAAUAACAUGCAAGUUUGACCAUGAAUGUAAGGAGCGGCUGGGAGAUCACUCAAUUUGUUACCCAGUUGUGAGUGCAUGCACUUGUACUGUGACUUUUCCAGUGCAGCAUCUGGACACUUACAGUGUUUAAAACCAUAAUGAGUGCAGCAGUUAGAUAUGGUGGUGAAUUCCACAGAGUUUAAAACAUUGUCUUGUAAUUUGGAAACUAAAUGAGUAAAAAUGUUUCUAAACAUUAGCUGUUAAGAUGUUUGUAGCUGUUUCAUGAAAAUGACAAGACUUCAAAACUUUGUGUAGGGUCCUACGUUGAUAGAUAAUAAGCAAGUGAUUUGUUUGCUUGUCUACUUGUAAUCUGAAUGUUUUAGCAAAGAAAUCCAGUAUUUGAGAACUUAAGAGCGUUGACUUUCAUGUCCAUGUUAAGUGUCACUGUUGGUUUGACACCUGUAGCAAGAAUUAUAUGUACAGGUCACGACCGUGUGACUCAGAAUGUUCCAAGGGAUUAAUUGUUCUCUGAAGUCCCUCCAGGGUUUCCUCAUCCAGUGGGCAUUCAACUUCAGGAACCACAACUGUGCUGUUAGAUUCUUCUUGCAGUACAGCACUCUCCCAGUCAAUGCCUGGAUCCUGAAGCUCCUUCAAAUCCACAAACAUAUAUAAUAGUCAUUAUUCCAGAAUAGGUACUUUUGGGAGUAAUGUUAUUUUGUGUAAGCGUUUUUUUCCAUUAAAUACAACAAUUUAAAAAUAAUGCCUUUGUUUUCAUGCUCU
This is a long non-coding RNA of Pelmatolapia mariae (spotted tilapia), 3877 nucleotides long. RefSeq lists it as uncharacterized. The transcript has 7 exons. Lineage: Eukaryota; Metazoa; Chordata; Actinopteri; Cichliformes; Cichlidae. The record is from RefSeq and is a predicted model, not a curated record.